RNAcentral lists this ribosomal RNA (1840 nucleotides) under Nolandella abertawensis. RNAcentral's name for it is "SSU rRNA". It matches the Rfam family "Eukaryotic small subunit ribosomal RNA". The record is from RNAcentral. Lineage: Eukaryota; Tubulinea; Elardia; Euamoebida; Hartmannellidae.
ACCUGGUUGAUCCUGCCAGUAGUCAUAUGCUUGUCUCAAAGAUUAAGCCAUGCAUGUCUAAGUAUAAACAACUUUGUACUGUGAAACUGCGAACGGCUCAUUAUAUCAGUUAUAAUUUACUUCAUUGUAUACUCUUACUUGGAUAACCGUAGUAAUUCUAGAGCUAAUACAUGCUAAAAAGCGGGACUGUGGCAACACGGAACCGUUGUGUUUAUUAGAUACAAAAUCAAUGCGUGCGUAAGUACGGUUUUUUGAUGAUUCAUAAUAACUAAACGAAGCGCAGGCCUAGAGCCGGCGCUGAUCGAAACACAUUUCUGCCCUAUCAACUUUCGAUGGUAGUAUAGGGGACUACCAUGGUCGUAACGGGUAACGGGGAAUUAGGGUUCUAUUCCGGAGAGGGAGCCUGAGAAACGGCUACCACUUCCAAGGAAGGCAGCAGGCGCGCAAUUACCCAAUCCUAAUUCUGGGAGGUAGUGACAAGAAAUACCAUUGGUUGACACUACGUGUGAACUAUUUGGAAUGAGAACAAUUUAAACACCUUAACGAGGAACAAAUGGAGGGCAAGUCUGGUGCCAGCAGCCGCGGUAAUUCCAGCUCCAUCAGUGUAUAUUAACGUUGUUGCGGUUAAAAAGCUCGUAGUUGGAUUUCGAAGUGCGAAAGUCAAGACCCAUCAAAUUGGUGUGGUCCGACAGUCGCCUUCUAGCUUAGGGUAAUAGCCUCGCUCCCUUCGCGGGUUGCGAUGUGCCGUUCCCUAUCUUUUACUUUGAUAAAAUCAGAGUGUUCAAAGCCAGGCGUCACUUGCCUUGAAUGUUGCCGCAAGGGAUAAUAGAAUAUGACUUCGGUCUUAUUUUGUUGGUUUCUAAGGCUGAAGUAAUGACUAAUAGGGACAGUCGGGGGCGCUUGUAUUGUGCUGUCAGAGGUGAAAUUCUAGGAUUUGCACAAGACAAACUACUGCGAAAGCAUUCGCCAAGGAUGUUUUCAUCAAUCAAGAACGAAAGUUGGGGGAUCGAAGAUGAUCAGAUACCGUCGUAGUCUCAACCAUAAACUAUGUGGACCAACGAUCCGAGGAAGUUACAUGGAUGACUCUCCGGGCAGUUUGUGAGAAAUCAUAAGUAUUUGCAUUCCGGGGGGAGUAUGGUCGCAAGGCUGAAACUUAAAGGAAUUGACGGAAGGGCACCACCAGGAGUGGAACCUGCGGCUUAAUUUGACUCAACACGGGGAAACUUACCAGGUCCGGACACAGUUAGGAUUGACAGAUUGAGAGCUCUUUCUUGAUUCUGUGGGUGGUGGUGCAUGGCCGUUUUUAGUUGGUGGAGUGAUUUGUCUGGUUAAUUCCGUUAACGAACGAGACCUUAACCUAUUAAUUAGUUGUGCGAUUUUGGACUUCGGUCCUUUCGAAUCGUGGUUAUACUUCUUAGAAGGACUCCUGGCAUCUCUAGCCAGUGGAAGUUUGAGGCUAAAACAGGUCUGUGAUGCCCUUAGAUGUCCUGGGCCGCACGCGCGUUACACUGACGAAUGCAACGAGUGAUUUCCUUCUCCGAUGGGAGUGGGUAAGCUUUUAAAAGCUCGUCGUGAUGGGGAUUGAACCUUGCAAUUAUUGUUCAUGAACGAGGAAUUCCUAGUAAGCGUAGUUCAUCAAACUGCGUUGAUUACGUCCCUGCCCUUUGUACACACCGCCCGUCGCUAGUACCGAUUGAAUGAUCCGGUGAGGAUUCAGGACGGCAGAACUUUAGUUUGCCUGAAAGGGUAAGCGGGUUCAGCCGGAAUCUGUUCAAACCGUGUCAUUUAGAGGAGCUAAAAGUCGUAACAAGGUUUUCGUAGGUGAACCUGCAGAAGGAUA